Molecule: ribosomal RNA, 752 nt
Filed under: uncultured bacterium
Lineage: Bacteria
Description: bacterial SSU rRNA
Rfam family: Bacterial small subunit ribosomal RNA
Source: RNAcentral
AGAGUUUGAUCCUGGCUCAGAAUCAACGCUGGCGGCGCGCUUAACACAUGCAAGUCGCACGAGAAAGGGAGCAAUCCUAAGUAAAGUGGCGCACGGGUGAGUAACACGUGGAUCAUCUACCUUUUAGUGGGGAAUACCUCUGGGAAACCGGAGACAAUACCGCAUAAGCCCGCAAGGGGAAAGCAGCAAUGCGCUGAAAGAGGAGUCCGCGGCCGAUUAGCUAGUUGGCGGGGUAAUGGCCCACCAAGGCGAAGAUCGGUAGCCGGCCUGAGAGGGCACACGGCCACACUGGCACUGAAACACGGGCCAGACUCCUACGGGAGGCAGCAGUGGGGAAUCUUGCACAAUGGACGAAAGUCUGAUGCAGCGACGCCGCGUGAGCGAUGAAGCCCUUCGGGGUGUAAAGCUCUUUCGACGGGAACGAUAAUGACGGUACCCGGAGAAGAAGCUGCGGCUAACUACGUGCCAGCAGCCGCGGUAAUACGUAGGCAGCGAGCGUUGUUCGGAAUUACUGGGCGUAAAGAGUGUGUAGGCGGUGUUCCCAGUCUGUUGUGAAAUCUCCCGGCUUAACUGGGAGGGUGCAGCGGAAACUAGAAUGCUAGAGGGUGGGAGAGGUAAGCGGAAUUCCUGGUGUAGCGGUGAAAUGCGUAGAUAUCAGGAGGAACACCUGGUGUAGACAGCUUACUGGACCACUUCUGACGCUGAGACACGAAAGCGUGGGUAGCAAACAGGAUUAGAUACCCUAGUAGUCC